Molecule: ribosomal RNA, 506 nt
Filed under: uncultured bacterium
Lineage: Bacteria
Description: bacterial SSU rRNA
Rfam family: Bacterial small subunit ribosomal RNA
Source: RNAcentral
AAUGAACGCUGGCGGCGCGCCUAACACAUGCAAGUCGAACGAGAAAUCUCGAGCUUGCUCGAGAGAGUAAAGUGGCGCACGGGUGAGUAACGCGUGGGUAACCUGCCCUUGAAUCUGGAAUAAUCCACCGAAAGGUGGCCUAAUACCGGAUAUAGUCCUGAGAACCACGGUUCUCUGGAUGAAAGCUGACCUCUUCUUGAAAGUUGGCGUUUAAGGAGGGGCCCGCGUACCAUUAGCUUGUUGGUAGGGUAAAGGCCUACCAAGGCUACGAUGGUUAGCUGGUCUGAGAAGAUGUCCAGCCACACUGGAACUGAAACACGGUCCAGACUCCUAUGGGAGGCAGCAGUGAGGAAUUUUGCGCAAUGGGGGAAACCCUGACGCAGCGACGCCGCGUGAGUGAAGAAGGCCUUCGGGUCGUAAAGCUCUGUCAAGUGGGAAUAAAGUUCCGCGAUUAAUAGCCGCGGGAUCUGAAGGUACCAUCAAAGGAAGCACCGGCUAACUCCGUG